ACUGAUUAUAGAAUGCUGAAAUUCU
RNAcentral lists this non-coding RNA (25 nucleotides) under Cricetulus griseus (Chinese hamster). Lineage: Eukaryota; Metazoa; Chordata; Mammalia; Rodentia; Cricetidae. The record is from RNAcentral.